RNAcentral lists this ribosomal RNA (801 nucleotides) under uncultured Planctomycetota bacterium. RNAcentral describes it as "bacterial SSU rRNA". It matches the Rfam family "Bacterial small subunit ribosomal RNA", at positions 46 to 832 of the family's 1533-position model. Lineage: Bacteria; Pseudomonadati; Planctomycetota. The record is from RNAcentral.
GGAUUAGGCAUGCAAGUCGAACGAGAAAGGUUCCUUCGGGGACCGAGUAGAGUGGCGAAAGGGUGAGUAAUGCACAGGCAACUUACCCCCGAGAUGGGAAUAACCUCUCGAAAGGGGGGCUAAUGCCCAAUGGUACCGUGGAUCGCAUGUUCUACGGUUAAAGAUAGCUUCGGCCUUCGCUCGGGGAGAGGCCUAUGUCCUAUUAGCUUGUUGGUGGGGUAACGGCCCACCAAGGCGACGAUGGGUAGCCGACCUGAGAGGGUGACCGGCCACACUGAGACUGAGACACUGCCCAGACUCCUACGGGAGGCUGCAGUCGAGAAUCUUCCGCAAUGCGCGCAAGCGUGACGGAGCGACGCCGCGUGAGGGAUGAAGGCCUUCGGGUUGUAAACCUCUGUCACCUGGAAAGAGAACUGUGCGGUUAAUAGCUGUCGCAGUUGACGUUACCAGGAGAGGAAGCACCGGCUAAAUACGUGCCAGCAGCCGCGGUAAUACGUAUGGUGCAAACGUUGUUCGGAAUCACUGGGCUUAAAGAGCACGUAGGCGGUUGAGAAAGUCUGAUGUGAAAUCCCUCGGCUUAACCGAGGAAUUGCAUUGGAAACUUCUCGGCUAGAGUACAGGAGGGGAGAGUGGAAUUCCUGGUGGAGCGGUGAAAUGCGUAGAUAUCAGGAGGAACGCCGGAGGCGAAAGCGACUCUCUGGCCUGUUACUGACGCUGAGGUGCGAAAGCUAGGGGAGCGAACGGGAUUAGAUACCCCGGUAGUCCUAGCCCUAAACGAUGGGCACUAAGUAGAGGGGUUUU